GAACGCAAAUUGCGCUCGAGGCCUCGGCCGAGAGCAUGCCUGCCUCAGUGUCGGUUCCACCCUCGCCUCACCUCCCAUCCGGCUGCGUGAGAGCGGACCUGGCCGUCCCGAUCCUGGCGAUCGGGUCGGCUGAAGCGCAGAGGCUUGAGCGGGAGUCCCUCCAAUGUGGGAACAACAGACCGGUAGGUGAGCCGUCCUCUCUCCGGAGAGGCGAUCGCAUGCCGCUGCUGGGCCCCGGGACCCCGCUGGACGCCGAGCAGGAGACGGUGCGGCUCGCGACGGGGGAGACCCCGUCGCGGCGACCGAAUCAUCCAUUCGACCUGAGUUCAGGCAAGGGCACCCGCUGAACUUAAG
RNAcentral lists this unclassified non-coding RNA (354 nucleotides) under uncultured Coccomyxa. RNAcentral describes it as "sequence contains 5.8S rRNA gene". The record is from RNAcentral. Lineage: Eukaryota; Viridiplantae; Chlorophyta; Trebouxiophyceae.